Molecule: RNA transcript, 2273 nt
Organism: Strongylocentrotus purpuratus (purple sea urchin)
Lineage: Eukaryota; Metazoa; Echinodermata; Echinoidea; Camarodonta; Strongylocentrotidae
Gene name: myoblast determination protein 1 homolog 2
Exons: 3
Source: RefSeq, a predicted model, not a curated record
ACACUGAAAGGGAGAAACAGAAACAAAUGGAUUAGUAUAAUGUUGUUGUUGAUGAUUAUGAUAUGUUGACGAUGAUUUGAUGCUGAUGAAAUUUUAAAAGUGCAAAAAGCAAAAUUUGAAUGUUUAAAGAAUAAGGGGCAGAGGAGAGUCCUAAGUAGUAGUUUUACGGCAAUAUAUUGAUCGAUACAGGAGGUUUAAGAGUGUGAAGAACUGGUAUUUUCAUCAGGAAAAUUGAUAUUGCAGCGGCCAUUAUAUUUGUUAUCUUCCAGACAUUGCCGUCAUACCUGUAAAUGAAUAUAAGUUACCUUAUCAGAACUGAACGUAUAGUGGGUAAAAUAUUUAUGGAAUGUAUACUUUUUGUUUCUUUUUAAAUUAACGGUUCACUGACCGAGAUAGAGUUUUUUUUUCGAGGGACCUCGCAUUAACAUGGUGUAACAACCCGUCUUUGUUGAUUGAAUCAUGGAAGUUUUGGCCACUCAAAGGUUUAAACGCAUAUAGGAAGCCUGUAAAGUGAGUUGAGCUCAAAACAGCAGGUAUUUUCGGUCAUGAAUAAUAUGUAAUCUUCAGAUUACUCUCUUAUGUUUUCUUCACUCCCCUUCUCUCCCUUUUUGGCGAUACAAAUUAUUGCGGCUGUCUUGGGAAGAAAAGAAGCGCAGUUAUGGCAUCCUAAUCUAAUUCACCUCGCGUAAGUCGACAGAAGGAAACCUCUUACUAGCAGCCAGCAUAUGUGACCAUUUUCAGAAACUGUUCCAUGAGAUAUGAGGAUAACCAAUCAACUGAAGCCCAACCAUCUUUAAUCCAGCUAGAUUCAAUCGCAUCACUUCAGCCUGGUCUACUAAGCAUGGAUGACCCUCCACCAAAAGCUAAUAUUUCUUGGCGAUGAUCCCACUUCAGAGAUCCUCACCCCCAAUGAGAUCUCCGCCUCCACCUCACCCAGGCCGGAAAUCUUCCAAGGGAGACAACAGUCGUCAGUGCAUGCUCUCUCUUCAAACGAUCACUACACUUCUCCGGUAACCAAAAUGCACUCGUCAAUUCAUAACCGGAAGAGUCUCUAACCAGCACAUCACCUUCAUCAUCAUCAACACCAACCAUUAUGAUAGCAACAUCAACUAAUCCUUUCUUUCACAAUAAUCUCCAGCAACUUUUAAUCGUAGUUCGUAGUUCGUUAUGAUAUGCCAAACUUUUUGUGAAUCUUUUUACUUAUUGAUUUUCAUGUGAUUUGGACAAAGUCGGGUAUUGGUUAGAGUUGGGUAGGAUGCUGACCACUUCACGUUGACAUUUCCUCAAGCUAUUUUUCUCCAUCGCUUUUCUCCUGGUCACCCUCAACUCGUUUCAUCCAAUUUUACUUUCCGUUUUUUUUCUUUCACAAAUUCAUCAAUAAUGGACAUAAUUAUAAUUCGUUAUGUUAUAUCUUAAAGGUAUUGAUUGUCUUAUUUCGCUCGCAUUACCAACAUACUACGAGCUAAUAACUCAUCGAGAAGCUUGCACGGUUCUCUUUGCUUUUACUCUGUGUACGAUGUCACUUUCUUAGAGGGCACCUGAAUGACUCAAGUCAGCAACUGACGCUCUGUGUGCAACGGACAUUGUGCGCUUCAAAGAUUAUUAGCGCAGGAAGACGCUCCUGUUUAUUACGUAAUACAUGAAAAUCUAUCUUUAUCGUUGGGCGGUAGAAAUUUUCUCGUAUUUGUCGUUCGACAGUGUGUGCCAUCAGCUAUUGUUGUGUCGUUGAGGCCUAUCUCGAGCGCUAUUUCUGAUGAUCUUCUUCUUCUUCAAUUGAUUAUGCAUGGGGAAAAACUAUUUCAUAAACAACACACCAGCAUACAUAUGAAUGUGAGAAAAACAAUGGGGCGUUAGAAUAAUUAAAAAAUCUGAACCCUCUAAACAGGAUCGGACUGCUAGGAUACAUAUCAACUGGCCCUCAUACCACACAUCGACUGGUCCUCGUGGGUUUGGGUCAAGUAAUGAAGACAAAACGAGCGGAAGCAAAACGACCGAGCGCUAGAAAGAUUUUGAUGUGCUUUCAGCCUUCUACAAAGUAUUUUGACGGACUUUUAUCGAUGAUUGGGGGCGCAAUUACAAACUAUAUCUUUCAAAGAAGCCAGAUGCACAUGUGAUAGAACUAUUAAAAUCUUUGUUGUUGAUAAAAUCCUUCGAAGCACUUUACGUUGCACUGUAAAUGUAUUAUAGAAAGAAGUAAAGAAUACACGGUUAAACACCAAAAAGGGAAUGACUUAAAUUUCUUGAAAAUGCUAUUUUUAUAUCAUGGAUUCCAA